AACGCACGAGACCUGCGGACCUGCGGAAGGAUCAUUAGUGAACGCCCUCACGGGCUUAUAACUAUUCCAAACCUCUGUGAACCGUGCCCUUCGGGGCUAUUUUACAAACAUGGUGUAAUGAACGUCAUAUAUCAUAACAAAACAAAACUUUUAACAAUGGAUCUCUAA
This 168-nucleotide unclassified non-coding RNA is filed under the name soil metagenome. RNAcentral describes it as "partial contains 5.8S ribosomal RNA, internal transcribed spacer 2, and large subunit ribosomal RNA". The record is from RNAcentral.